GACGGAGGGUGCAAGCGUUACCCGGAAUUACUGGGCGUAAAGGGCGUGUAGGCUGUUCUGUAAGUCGGGUGCUAAAGACCACGGCUCAACCCUGGGUUUGCCUUGGAAACUGGAAAGCUCGACGGCUGUAGGGGGCAGCGGAAUUUCAGGAGGAGCGGUGAAAUGCGCUGAUACCGGAAGGAACGCCGGUGGCGAAGGCGGCUGACUGGGCCGUGCGUGACGCUGAGGCGCGAAAGCGUAGGGAGCAAACGGG
Molecule: ribosomal RNA, 253 nt
Filed under: uncultured bacterium
Lineage: Bacteria
Description: partial 16S ribosomal RNA
Rfam family: Bacterial small subunit ribosomal RNA
Source: RNAcentral